This 819-nucleotide unclassified non-coding RNA is filed under the name Hevea brasiliensis (rubber tree). The record is from RNAcentral. Lineage: Eukaryota; Viridiplantae; Streptophyta; Magnoliopsida; Malpighiales; Euphorbiaceae.
AUCUAGGUUAACUAGUAUCAUCUCUACUUGGAGUGUCGUAAAUGGUUGAAUAUACUCUAACCAACCCAUCUACUUAUCGGAUGUAUGGCUUGCCACCCCUACCUAUAUUGGGGAAUGACUCACUUUGCAUACCUCAACAUUGAAGCCACAGUCUAUUAAAAAGAGUAACCAUGCACGUUGUUGUUCAGAAAGUCUGUCUCUAGGGCCUUUCACUUCAACGAGUUUUGCUUCACCUCUGUACUCGUCGUGGAAGCGCCAAAGCAAUAAGUCGGGCAUUCCACUGGACCAGCUCCUGUAAUCUUGAGCCAAAUUCCGACAGAUUGAUGCAAGACAAGGACCUCCGAUGCAUGUAACUGCUGCUCGGAGCUCAGAAAGAGAAUGCUUGUCCCACUUAACUCCCCUACAGACUGUUCCCAUAUGUGAUUCCCAUGACAUGAUAAGUAACUCUUCUGCCAUGCCAUGCUCAAUCUUAUCUAGAAGACCUUCUACAAGACCCUUUCUGACUUCAUAAAAGCUAUCAGUUUCAAGAUCCAAAGGUGCAGUCUGAAAUUUGGUACGGAAGACAUUUGGUACAUCCGCAAAUACAAUGUCCCACAUUAGAAGCCCGAAAAUAGUCAACCAAAUCCCACUCUCAGUGUGAACACCCUGCCAGCGUCCUCCUUCUCCAGCAUAAUACUGAAGAGCAAGAUCUUCUACUCCACAACGUUCUCCAUCCUCACCAUAAAAGACAUUCUUCACCCCUGUUUUGCAGUUCACUGGUCUGCCCUGAACCUGAACCUCAACUAUCUUCCUAUUGAUGGAAUUCGAAAAACUGGGAGU